This 1520-nucleotide ribosomal RNA is filed under the name Klebsiella aerogenes. RNAcentral's name for it is "bacterial SSU rRNA". It matches the Rfam family "Bacterial small subunit ribosomal RNA". Lineage: Bacteria; Pseudomonadati; Pseudomonadota; Gammaproteobacteria; Enterobacterales; Enterobacteriaceae. RNAcentral also lists the same sequence under 1 other name. The record is from RNAcentral.
AGAGUUUGAUCAUGGCUCAGAUUGAACGCUGGCGGCAGGCCUAACACAUGCAAGUCGAGCGGUAACACAGAGAGCUUGCUCUCGGGUGACGAGCGGCGGACGGGUGAGUAAUGUCUGGGAAACUGCCUGAUGGAGGGGGAUAACUACUGGAAACGGUAGCUAAUACCGCAUAACGUCGCAAGACCAAAGUGGGGGACCUUCGGGCCUCAUGCCAUCAGAUGUGCCCAGAUGGGAUUAGCUAGUAGGUGGGGUAAUGGCUCACCUAGGCGACGAUCCCUAGCUGGUCUGAGAGGAUGACCAGCCACACUGGAACUGAGACACGGUCCAGACUCCUACGGGAGGCAGCAGUGGGGAAUAUUGCACAAUGGGCGCAAGCCUGAUGCAGCCAUGCCGCGUGUAUGAAGAAGGCCUUCGGGUUGUAAAGUACUUUCAGCGAGGAGGAAGGCGUUAAGGUUAAUAACCUUGGCGAUUGACGUUACUCGCAGAAGAAGCACCGGCUAACUCCGUGCCAGCAGCCGCGGUAAUACGGAGGGUGCAAGCGUUAAUCGGAAUUACUGGGCGUAAAGCGCACGCAGGCGGUCUGUCAAGUCGGAUGUGAAAUCCCCGGGCUCAACCUGGGAACUGCAUUCGAAACUGGCAGGCUAGAGUCUUGUAGAGGGGGGUAGAAUUCCAGGUGUAGCGGUGAAAUGCGUAGAGAUCUGGAGGAAUACCGGUGGCGAAGGCGGCCCCCUGGACAAAGACUGACGCUCAGGUGCGAAAGCGUGGGGAGCAAACAGGAUUAGAUACCCUGGUAGUCCACGCCGUAAACGAUGUCGACUUGGAGGUUGUGCCCUUGAGGCGUGGCUUCCGGAGCUAACGCGUUAAGUCGACCGCCUGGGGAGUACGGCCGCAAGGUUAAAACUCAAAUGAAUUGACGGGGGCCCGCACAAGCGGUGGAGCAUGUGGUUUAAUUCGAUGCAACGCGAAGAACCUUACCUACUCUUGACAUCCAGAGAACUUAGCAGAGAUGCUUUGGUGCCUUCGGGAACUCUGAGACAGGUGCUGCAUGGCUGUCGUCAGCUCGUGUUGUGAAAUGUUGGGUUAAGUCCCGCAACGAGCGCAACCCUUAUCCUUUGUUGCCAGCGGUCCGGCCGGGAACUCAAAGGAGACUGCCAGUGAUAAACUGGAGGAAGGUGGGGAUGACGUCAAGUCAUCAUGGCCCUUACGAGUAGGGCUACACACGUGCUACAAUGGCAUAUACAAAGAGAAGCGACCUCGCGAGAGCAAGCGGACCUCAUAAAGUAUGUCGUAGUCCGGAUUGGAGUCUGCAACUCGACUCCAUGAAGUCGGAAUCGCUAGUAAUCGUAGAUCAGAAUGCUACGGUGAAUACGUUCCCGGGCCUUGUACACACCGCCCGUCACACCAUGGGAGUGGGUUGCAAAAGAAGUAGGUAGCUUAACCUUCGGGAGGGCGCUUACCACUUUGUGAUUCAUGACUGGGGUGAAGUCGUAACAAGGUAACCGUAGGGGAACCUGCGGUUG